UUUUAGCCCCGAUUGAAGUGGAAAUCCUGUCAUUGCAGAGCCAAAAGUUUGAUGAGAUUAGCUUACGCUCAGUUCGCUUCGCUCGUGUGUCUUCGUUCCUCGCAAUGACAGAUUGUAACGAAAAGCGGGAAAAUGG
Molecule: small RNA, 136 nt
Filed under: Flavobacterium dankookense
Lineage: Bacteria; Pseudomonadati; Bacteroidota; Flavobacteriia; Flavobacteriales; Flavobacteriaceae
Description: Flavobacterium sp. ARSA-19 Flavo-1 RNA
Rfam family: Flavo-1 RNA
Source: Rfam by way of RNAcentral